This 164-nucleotide small nuclear RNA is filed under the name Cricetulus griseus (Chinese hamster). RNAcentral's name for it is "U1 spliceosomal RNA". The record is from RNAcentral. RNAcentral also lists the same sequence under 1 other name. Lineage: Eukaryota; Metazoa; Chordata; Mammalia; Rodentia; Cricetidae.
CAGGGGAGAGCGCGAACGCAGUCCCCCACUACCACAAAUUAUGCAGUCGAGUUUCCCGCAUUUGGGGAAAUCGCAGGGGUCAGCACAUCCGGAGUGCAAUGGAUAAGCCUCGCCCUGGGAAAACCACCUUCGUGAUCAUGGUAUCUCCCCUGCCAGGUAAGUAU